This 409-nucleotide ribosomal RNA is filed under the name uncultured bacterium. RNAcentral describes it as "bacterial SSU rRNA". It matches the Rfam family "Bacterial small subunit ribosomal RNA", at positions 356 to 762 of the family's 1533-position model. The record is from RNAcentral.
GAGGAAUAUUGGUCAAUGGGGGCAACCCUGAACCAGCCAAGUCGCGUGAAGGAUGAAGGUCUUAUGGAUUGUAAACUUCUUUUAUACAGGAAUAAAUUGGGGGACGUGUCCCCUUUUGCAUGUACUGUAUGAAUAAGGAUCGGCUAACUCCGUGCCAGCAGCCGCGGUAAUACGGAGGAUCCGAGCGUUAUCCGGAUUUAUUGGGUUUAAAGGGUGCGCAGGCGGGAUGUUAAGUCGGCGGUGAAAUUUUGCAGCUCAACUGUAAAAGUGCCUUCGAUACUGGCCUCCUUGAGUGUGGACGAAGUAGGCGGAAUUUGUGGUGUAGCGGUGAAAUGCUUAGAUAUCACGAGGAACUCCCAUUGCGCAGGCAGCUUACUAAGCCACAACUGACGCUCAUGCACGAAGGCGU